AAUAUUACCUUUAAUGAAAGAUAAUAUGAGCCAUUUGAUUCUAUGUUAUUUGUUAAAACCAGAACCAUCAGAUUUUAGAGAAAAAAUGAUAUUUACGAAAAUACCAUUAAUAAAUCAUCAGUCAUAACCGUCGGAUUAUCACAUCUAUCUUUUAAUCAUGGCCACACGAUUUCGCCCAUCUCUCCAUCUCUCUGUUCUCUCAUUAAUCACAACCACAUGAUCAAUU
Molecule: long non-coding RNA, 226 nt
Filed under: Brassica rapa (field mustard)
Lineage: Eukaryota; Viridiplantae; Streptophyta; Magnoliopsida; Brassicales; Brassicaceae
Description: long non-coding RNA (BRAP_LNC001351)
Source: RNAcentral